This 497-nucleotide ribosomal RNA is filed under the name uncultured bacterium. RNAcentral describes it as "partial 16S ribosomal RNA". It matches the Rfam family "Bacterial small subunit ribosomal RNA", at positions 28 to 507 of the family's 1533-position model. The record is from RNAcentral.
GACGAACGCUGGCGGCGUGCCUAAUACAUGCAAGUUGAGCGCUGAAGGUUGGUACUUGUACCAACUGGAUGAGCAGCGAACGGGUGAGUAACGCGUGGGGAAUCUGCCUUUGAGCGGGGGACAACAUUUGGAAACGAAUGCUAAUACCGCAUAAAAACUUUAAACACAAGUUUUAAGUUUGAAAGAUGCAAUUGCAUCACUCAAAGAUGAUCCCGCGUUGUAUUAGCUAGUUGGUGAGGUAAAGGCUCACCAAGGCGAUGAUACAUAGCCGACCUGAGAGGGUGAGCGGCCACAUUGGGACUGGGACACGGCCCAAACUCCUACGGGAGGCAGCAGGAGGGAAUCUUCGGCAAUGGACGAAAGUCUGACCGAGCAACGCCGCGUGAGUGAAGAAGGUUUUCGGAUCGUAAAACUCUGUUGGUAGAGAAGAACGUUGGGGGGAGUGGAAAGCUCAUCAAGUGACGGUAACUACCCAGAAAGGGACGGCUAACUACGUG